Molecule: ribosomal RNA, 300 nt
Filed under: uncultured Rickettsiales bacterium
Lineage: Bacteria; Pseudomonadati; Pseudomonadota; Alphaproteobacteria; Rickettsiales
Description: bacterial SSU rRNA
Rfam family: Bacterial small subunit ribosomal RNA
Source: RNAcentral
GUAUAGGAAUCUGCCUAACAGUAUGGAAUAACCCUGGGAAACCAGAGCUAAUACCAUAUAUUACCGAUUUAUCGGGAAAGAUUUAUCGCUGUUAGAUGAGCCUGUAUCAGAUUAGCUUGUUGGUAGGGUAAUGGCCUACCAAGGCGAUGAUCUGUAGCUGGUCUGAGAGGAUGAUCAGCCACACUGGGACUGCGACACGGCCCAGACUCCUACGGGAGGCAGCAGUGGGGAAUAUUGGACAAUGGGCGAAAGCCUGAUCCAGCAAUACCACGUGAAUGAUGAAGGCCUUAGGGUUGUAAA